This 726-nucleotide ribosomal RNA is filed under the name uncultured bacterium. RNAcentral's name for it is "bacterial SSU rRNA". It matches the Rfam family "Bacterial small subunit ribosomal RNA", at positions 789 to 1515 of the family's 1533-position model. The record is from RNAcentral.
GGUAGUCCACGCCGUAAACGAUGUCGACUUGGAGGUUGUGCCCUUGAGGCGUGGCUUCCGGAGCUAACGCGUUAAGUCGACCGCCUGGGGAGUACGGCCGCAAGGUUAAAACUCAAAUGAAUUGACGGGGGCCCGCACAAGCGGUGGAGCAUGUGGUUUAAUUCGAUGCAACGCGAAGAACCUUACCUACUCUUGACAUCCAGAGAACUUAGCAGAGAUGCUUUGGUGCCUUCGGGAACUCUGAGACAGGUGCUGCAUGGCUGUCGUCAGCUCGUGUUGUGAAAUGUUGGGUUAAGUCCCGCAACGAGCGCAACCCUUAUCCUUUGUUGCCAGCGGUUAGGCCGGGAACUCAAAGGAGACUGCCAGUGAUAAACUGGAGGAAGGUGGGGAUGACGUCAAGUCAUCAUGGCCCUUACGAGUAGGGCUACACACGUGCUACAAUGGCGCAUACAAAGAGAAGCGACCUCGCGAGAGCAAGCGGACCUCAUAAAGUGCGUCGUAGUCCGGAUUGGAGUCUGCAACUCGACUCCAUGAAGUCGGAAUCGCUAGUAAUCGUAGAUCAGAAUGCUACGGUGAAUACGUUCCCGGGCCUUGUACACACCGCCCGUCACACCGUGGGAGUGGGUUGCAAAAGAAGUAGGUAGCUUAACCUUCGGGAGGGCGCUUACCACUUUGUGAUUCAUGACUGGGGUGAAGUCGUAACAAGGUAACCGUAGGGGAACCUGC